Molecule: small RNA, 80 nt
Filed under: Azospirillum oryzae
Lineage: Bacteria; Pseudomonadati; Pseudomonadota; Alphaproteobacteria; Rhodospirillales; Azospirillaceae
Description: suhB
Source: RNAcentral
UUCCGACGCCUGGUGGCGAUUCCUCCCUAAACUCGACAGGCCGCGCCGCUUUUGCCGCGCGGCCUUUCUUUAUUCGGCGG